AUGGGCCAAAAGCUUUCCCGGAGGGAAGGUGUGAAAGAGACCAACCAGAGAGAAGUUCCAGGAGCCCAAGAAAUGUCCCGGCGGGGAGCCAGGAGCAGCCAAGAGCUGUACCAAGGCCGGAGUCCCACGGAGGCCGAGCCGGCAGCUGCUGCCCCGGCUGGAGCUGCUGAGGAGGAGGAGGAGCCGGAGUGGGCAGCGGCAGAGAUGGCAGAGGAAGACAGCCUGGAGACCUUGACUCAGGACAGUGAUUGGGAUUCUGAUAGCGAGGAAGAGAGCUCGGUGUCUGCCCCGCACAGCCCCGCCGGGCCCUUGUCUGUCCUGGCAGGGCUGACAGGGGCAGUGCUGGUACAGGAUGACAGCCUGGAGGCCUGGGUUUGGGGAAGUCUCUGGGAAUAUAACAGUGAGAAAGAGCUGUGCCAGAGGACAUUUUUACUUGUCCAAGAGCUGUCCCAGGAGGAGGACGAUGUGAGCUCCAGCUCUGGGGAGAAGCCUGUGGGCCCAGUGAAGGAGGGGGACACCCAGCCUUCUCCCCCAGAGGGGCCCAGCUCUGCCAGCCCCGCGGGCACAGAGGUGGCAGCAGAGGCAGCCCCUGCCCUGCCCAGCGCCUCUCCUGCCCCACAGAGUCCCACGGAGGCCGAGCCGGCAGCUGCUGCCCCGGCUGGAGAUGCUGAGGAAGACCUGUCCCAGGGAGAAGUCAGCAGCUCCCAAGGCCCCUCGGACUGGGAAGAAUACCUCGAGCAAGCGCUGUCCGGAGGAGAUGUCAUCAGCUGCAAAGAAAUUUCGGACUGGGAAGAACACCUUGGCCAAAAUGUGUCCAGAGGGAAUGGCAGCAGACCCUCAGGACUCUCCAGCUGGGACGACGACAGCGACACGGGGCUCAUGCAAGAGAACUGGCCCCAGCACAUCAUCUUGGCCAAGCCCUUGUGCCCCGAGGAUGAUGAGUGGGACAACGUGAGCCUCCUGGAGCUGCCCCCAGAAGACAAGAAAGACCAGAAAAGGAAAGUUUUUGUGGCAGAGGGGCUCCCAGUGCCCGUCCCUCGGGAGGCCUGGGCUGAGUGCCCGGCACAGGAGCCGUGCAGCCAAGGGCCGGCGCCUGCCCCGCACAGCCCCCCCAGCCCCUGGCCUGCCCGGCUGGGAGCCCAGGCCCUCCGCGGGCAGCCGGCUGCCCCCAGGAAACGUCCCUCCCGCUUCAGGCGGGCGCUGCGGGCGCUGCGGGGGCUGUUCCGCUGUCCCUGCCUCAGGCCACGCACCGAGGAGUAAAACGGGCACGGAAAAGGGUGAAGAGGAGGAAGAGAAUGAAGGGGAAGAACAGGAAGAUGAAGAUGACCGCUCCUGCCAGUCCCGCUCCUCUGUGUCGGAGCAGCAGCUCUUCGGCUCGGCUCGAGGGGCUCAGAGAUUGCUGCUGCAGCUCCUCCAAAUCUGGGCAGAGAAAAGCCUUUGGAUGGGCCAGGCAAGCCAAGCAAGCCAAGCAAAACCCAAGCAGGCAGAGCCAUGAAGACCUGGGCAGUGAGGCUUGGAAAAUGCCCACCCAAAGAGCCCAAAGCUCCCCCAUCCCUGCCCCGCACACACCCGGCCCCGGGCUGGAAGGUGCAGCAGCCAUUUCUUGGGCACAAAGCAGAGGCUCCUGGAACAGACUCUCAGCACAAACCCCUCCGGGACAACGGCAAAGAAGACCAAGACAAAGAAGAUGAAGACGAAGACACAGAAAAUGAGGAUGAAGACGACACAGCAGAUGAAGAAGAUGAAGACAGUGAAGAAGAUGAAGAAAAAUAGGAUGAAGAAGAUGAAGACAGCAAAGACGAUGAAGACAGAGAUGAAGACUAAAAAGACAAGACAGAGAACAUUUAUUUAAGAAUAGAUAGAUGAAGUAUAGUAAUAAGAAUUUAGAAAUACUUAGAAGAAGAAUAGGAAUAGGAAUAAGAAUUUCAAAAUAUGUAGAAGAAGAUAUAGAAGAAUAGAAAUAGGAAUAGGAAUAAGAAUUUCAAAAUAUGCAGAAGAAGAAGAAAAAGAAGAAUAGAAAUAGGAAUAGGAAUAAGAAUUUCAAAAUACAUUGAAGUAGUUAAGAAAAAGUAGAGUAGUAAGUAAGAGUAGGAAAAAGAAGAACCGUAAGAAGAAUAUGAAUAGGAAAAUUAAUAGAAAUUUGAAGGAAUAAGUGAAACUAGCAAAUAAUUUAUUUUUGUUAUAUAUUAUAUAUUUCUACUAUGAUGUAUGAAAUAAACACAUGAAUAUACCAUAUGUUUUAAGCAGCUGCGGAGUUAUUUCUGGAGUCCAUACAACUUCUACAACACAAUGUCUGGGGCUGGCAGGGACCUUACAGAUCAUGUAGUUCCAUUUGAUUAUCUCCAGCUCUGUAUCUCUUCUCUCUGACAUGGGUUUCCUUUUCCUUUCUCUCUCCCUUCCUCACUCUUCUUAGGAAGUAAAAUCCAUAUUGUUGAAUAAAACCCCUCUGUUGCCAUCCCAUGGUUUCAUUUGCUACUUAAUUUAGGCAGAGGCCUCUCUCCCUCAUCGCGCUGUGACACAUGACCAGGGACACCUUCCACUAUCCCAGGUGGCUCCAAGUCCCAUGCCCGUUUUUCCCUGUUUUAGGAUGACUUUUAGAGAAUCCCAGGAUCCCAUCUGCAGGGACAGCAGCUCCUGCUCAGCCCUGCAGCAGCUCCGUGUGUGGCAGCAGGGCCGGGCCCUCCCCAGCCCCAAAUGGC
Taeniopygia guttata (zebra finch) is the source of this 2699-nucleotide long non-coding RNA. The record is from Ensembl. Lineage: Eukaryota; Metazoa; Chordata; Aves; Passeriformes; Estrildidae.